CAGUAGCCACGGGAAUACAGAGGUCCCGAGCGUUGUUCGGAUUCACUGGGCGUAAAGGGUGUGUAGGAGGUUGGAUAAGUCAGGUGUGAAAUCCCGCAGCUCAACUGCGGAACUGCCUUUGAUACUGGGUAUCUUGAGUAUGGAAGAGGUUAGUGGAAUUGCGAGUGUAGAGGUGAAAUUCGUAGAUAUUCGCAGGAACACCAGUGGCGAAGGCGGCUAACUGGUCCAUAACUGACGCUGAGGUGCGAAAGCGUGGGGAGCAAACAGGAUUAGAUACCCCUGUAGUCCCUGUCUCUUAUAC
Molecule: ribosomal RNA, 301 nt
Filed under: uncultured bacterium
Lineage: Bacteria
Description: partial 16S ribosomal RNA
Rfam family: Bacterial small subunit ribosomal RNA
Source: RNAcentral